This 28-nucleotide small RNA is filed under the name Bombyx mori (domestic silkworm). Its description in RNAcentral is "ovarian small RNA-22325". The record is from RNAcentral. Lineage: Eukaryota; Metazoa; Arthropoda; Insecta; Lepidoptera; Bombycidae.
UAGCCAAGCCAUUGGACCGGACAGACCC